GCGCUCCUCGAGGGGCAGGAGGUCCCCGCGGGGCAGCGCGGGGUCGCAGGAGGCGCUGGGGGCGGCCACGUAGAGCGGGACCCCGUGGUGCCGCGCCGCCAGCGCCAGCGCGUACGUCCCGAUCUUGUUGGCCGUGUCCCCGUUGGCGGCCACGCGGUCGGCGCCCACCACCACGGCUGGGGGGGGGACACGGGGAGGGGGGGGGGUGAGACCCCCGACCCGGGCUCGGCCGGGCCCACGAACCCCGGCCCCGGGGCCCCGUAACAGCCCCGGCCCUCCCGCCCCGCCGUGUCCCAGCCGCCACGGCCCCGUCCCACGGCCCCGUCCCCAUCAUCCCAUGUCCCCAUUCCCAUCCCAUGUCCCCAUCCCAUGUCCCUGUCCCCAUCCCCUUGUCCCCAUCCCCAUCCCACAUCCCCAUUCCCUUGUCCCUAUCCCAUGGCCCUGUCCCCAUGUCCCCAUCCCACAUCCCUGUCCCCACCCCACGUCCCCAUUCCCUUGUCCCUAUCCCACGUCCCCAUGUCCCCAUCCCCAUGUCCCUGUCCCCAUCCCAUGUCCCCAUCCCCUUGUCCCCAUCCCAUGUCCCCAUGGCCCCAUCCCACAUCCCCAUUCCCUUGUCCCUAUCCCACGCCUCCAUGUCCCUGUCCCCAUGCCAUGCCCGUCCCCAUCCCAUGUCCCUGUACCCAUGUCCCCGUCCCCGUCCCACGUCCCCAUCCCCUUGUCCCUAUCCCACAUCCCCAUGCCCCUGUCCCCAGCCCACGGCCCCAUCCCCAUGUCCCCAUCCCAUGCCCGGCCCCAUCCCAGAUCCCUGUCCCCGUCCCCAUCCCCCUGUCCCCAUCCCUGUUCCCCUGUCCUCGUCAUCCCACAUCCCUGU
RNAcentral lists this long non-coding RNA (871 nucleotides) under Anser brachyrhynchus (Pink-footed goose). RNAcentral's name for it is "lncRNA (ENSABRG00000013229.1)". Lineage: Eukaryota; Metazoa; Chordata; Aves; Anseriformes; Anatidae. The record is from RNAcentral.